UACGUAGGGGCCGAGCGUUGUCCGGAUUUAUUGGGCGUAAAGCGCGCGCAGGCGGCCUCGCGCGCCCGACGUGAAAGCCCCCGGCUUAACCGGGGAGGGUCGUUGGGGACGGCGGGGCUUGAGGGCGGGAGAGGUCGGUGGAAUUCCCGGUGUAGUGGUGAAAUGCGUAGAGAUCGGGAGGAACACCUGUGGCGAAGGCGGCCGACUGGGCCGACCCUGACGCUGAGGCGCGAAGGCGUGGGGAGCGAACGGG
Molecule: ribosomal RNA, 253 nt
Filed under: uncultured bacterium
Lineage: Bacteria
Description: partial 16S ribosomal RNA
Rfam family: Bacterial small subunit ribosomal RNA
Source: RNAcentral